RNAcentral lists this ribosomal RNA (502 nucleotides) under uncultured Desulfobulbus sp. Its description in RNAcentral is "bacterial SSU rRNA". It matches the Rfam family "Bacterial small subunit ribosomal RNA", at positions 903 to 1382 of the family's 1533-position model. Lineage: Bacteria; Pseudomonadati; Thermodesulfobacteriota; Desulfobulbia; Desulfobulbales; Desulfobulbaceae. The record is from RNAcentral.
CCCGCUCAGAAACUACAAAUAGAAUUGACGGGGCCCGGCACAAGCGGUGGAGUAUGUGGUUUAAUUCGAUGCAACGCGAAGAACCUUACCUGGUCUUGACAUCCCGGAGACCCUUAGGAAACUAGGGGGUGCUUCCAUCUGGAAGAAUCUGGAGACAGGUGCUGCAUGGCUGUCGUCAGCUCGUGUCGUGAGAUGUUGGGUUAAGUCCCGCAACGAGCGCAACCCUUGCCUUUAGUUGCCAGCAGUUCGGCUGGGCACUCUAAAGGGACUGCCGGUGUUAAACCGGAGGAAGGUGGGGAUGACGUCAAGUCCUCAUGGCCUUUAUGACCAGGGCUACACACGUACUACAAUGGCCGAUACAAAGGGCAGCGACACUGCGAGGUGAAGCCAAUCCCGUAAAAUCGGUCUCAGUCCGGAUUGGAGUCUGCAACUCGACUCCAUGAAGUUGGAAUCGCUAGUAAUCGUGGAUCAGCAUGCCACGGUGAAUACGUUCCCGGGCCUU